RNAcentral lists this ribosomal RNA (298 nucleotides) under uncultured bacterium. RNAcentral describes it as "partial 16S ribosomal RNA". It matches the Rfam family "Bacterial small subunit ribosomal RNA", at positions 28 to 313 of the family's 1533-position model. The record is from RNAcentral.
GACGAACGCUGGCGGCGUGCCUAACACAUGCAAGUGGAGCGACGAACCAGGCUUCGGCCUGGGGCAAAGCCGCGAACGGGUGAGUAACACGUGGGUAACCUGCCCCGAUGAUUGGGACGAACCCGACGGAAACUACGGGCGUAAUACCGAAUGUGCCCUUCGACCGCAAGGUCGCUGGGGAAAGGAAGCUUCGGCCUCCGCAUCGGGAGUGGGCCCGCGGCCCACUUAGCUUGUUGGUGAGGUAACGGCUCACCAAGGCGACGAUGGGUAGCUGGUCUGAGAGGACGAUCAGCCACAC